GGAUGUGAGGGCGCUCUGGCUGCGACAUCUGUCACCCCACUGAUCGCCAGGGUUGAUUCAGCUGAUCUGGCUGGCAGGGUGGGCGUCUCCUUCCUCCCUCACCGCCCCAUGUGCGUCCCUCCCGAAGCUGAGCGCUAGGUGGACAGGUUUGCGGUCAAGGGCAUAUAGGAGCUCACUA
Molecule: small nuclear RNA, 178 nt
Filed under: Oryctolagus cuniculus (rabbit)
Lineage: Eukaryota; Metazoa; Chordata; Mammalia; Lagomorpha; Leporidae
Description: 7SK RNA
Rfam family: 7SK RNA
About the family: 7SK was discovered as an abundant small nuclear RNA in the mid-70s but a possible function has only recently been suggested. Two independent studies have found that 7SK RNA binds the CDK9/cyclin T complex (known as elongation factor P-TEFb).
Source: Rfam by way of RNAcentral